UCCGGACUCGUCUAAUGGCAGGACAGCGGCCUUUGAAGCCGUGAAUCUACGUUCGAAUCGUAGGUCCGGAGCCA
Molecule: transfer RNA, 74 nt
Filed under: Candidatus Berkelbacteria bacterium
Lineage: Bacteria; Candidatus Berkelbacteria
Description: tRNA-Gln
Rfam family: tRNA
About the family: Transfer RNA (tRNA) molecules are approximately 80 nucleotides in length.
Source: RNAcentral